CUGAGGUUAAAUCACGUAUGUUUGCGUCCUGCCUGUGAUGCGUGGGGUUGAUGGCAUGCUGUGGGGUUGUGGGGGAUCACAUGUGUGGAGGUCUGUGCUUUGCUGUGUUGCGUGCCUGUGUGCGUGAUGUGGUGUUCGUGUGGUGGUUGAGAACUGUAUAGUGGAUGCAAGUAUCUUUAUUGUUGUAUGUGUUUGUGCGACGUGGUGUUGUGCAAAGUUGUGUAGUGCGAUCGGUGGAUGCCUUGGCACCAAGAGCCGAUAAAGGACGUUGUGACCUGCGAUAAGCCCCGGGGAGUUGGUAAGUUGACCUCUGCCCCGUUGGCCUCAUGUUUGUCAUCCCUCCCACCUUCCCCCCAAUUAGAUAAUCCAGGCUAACACGUGAAAGCCCCCCUACCACUCUCUAACUUUAAAAAGACCCGGCAAUUCACAAAACUUUUGCACCUAAUAAAAAGUCCCAUCAAAAAGGCAAAAAUAAAAGUUCCCACCCUACAAAAAAAUCAGUCUCUGCUCCAAAAAAAAAAAAA
RNAcentral lists this unclassified non-coding RNA (524 nucleotides) under Cutibacterium acnes. Its description in RNAcentral is "contains 16S-23S intergenic spacer region". The record is from RNAcentral. Lineage: Bacteria; Bacillati; Actinomycetota; Actinomycetes; Propionibacteriales; Propionibacteriaceae.